UACCAGCACCCCGAGUGGUCGGGACGUUUAUUGGGCCUAAAGCAUCCGUAGCCGGUUCUGCAAGUCUUCCGUUAAAUCCACCUGCUUAACAGAUGGGCCGCGGAAGAUACUAUAGAGCUAGGAGGCGGGAGAGGCAAGCGGUACUCGAUGGGUAGGGGUAAAAUUCGUAGAUAUUCGGAAGAACACCAGUGGCGAAGGCGGCUCACUGGACCGGCAUUGACGCUGAGGUGCGAAAGCGUGGGGAGCAAACAGG
RNAcentral lists this ribosomal RNA (253 nucleotides) under uncultured bacterium. RNAcentral describes it as "partial 16S ribosomal RNA". The stretch from base 27 to 253 matches the Rfam family "Bacterial small subunit ribosomal RNA", at positions 550 to 776 of the family's 1533-position model. The record is from RNAcentral.